AGCAGCCGCGGUAAUUCCAGCUCCAAUAGCGUAUAUUAAAGUUGUUGCAGUUAAAAAGCUCGUAGUUGAAUUUCGGGGUUUAUCCGUUGGUCGGGCUUUUGGGUCUGUACUGGCGUGAUGGAUUCCUACCUUCUGAAUAACCAGCAUGUCAUUAAUUUGGUGCGUUGGGGAAGCAGGACUGUUACCUUGAAAAAAUUAGAGUGCUUAAAGCAGGCUAUUGCCUGAAUACAUUAGCAUGGAAUAAUGAAAUAGGACGUAUGGUUCUAUUUUGUUGGUUUCUAGGAUCACCGUAAUGAUUAAUAGGGAUAGUUGGGGGCAUUAGUAUUCAAUUGUCAGAGGUGAAAUUCUUGGAUUUAUUGAAGACUAACUUCUGCGAAAGCAUUUGCCAAGGAUGUUUUCAUUAAUCAAGAACGAAAGUUAGGGGAUCGAAGACGAUCGGAUACCGUCGUAGUCUUAACCAUAAACUAUGCCGACUAGGGAUCGGACGAUGUUAAUUUUUAAUGACUCGUUCGGCGCCUUA
RNAcentral lists this ribosomal RNA (520 nucleotides) under uncultured Glomeromycotina. Its description in RNAcentral is "SSU rRNA". It matches the Rfam family "Eukaryotic small subunit ribosomal RNA", at positions 569 to 1090 of the family's 1831-position model. The record is from RNAcentral. Lineage: Eukaryota; Fungi; Glomeromycota.